UUAAGCUACUAAGAGUAUAGAGCGGAUGCCUUGGUGUCGGUAGGCUAUGAAGGGCGCGACAGACUGCGAAAAGCCACGGGAAGUUGUCAAUACACAUUGACCCGUGGAUUCCCGAAUGGGGCAACCCGGCAGGUUAAUAGCCUGUCAUCCUUAACUGAAUACAUAGGUUAAGGAAGCUAACUCAGGGAAGUGAAACAUCUCAGUACCUGAAGGAAAAGAAAAAGACAUUUAUUCCGUUAGUAGUGGCGAGCGAACGCGGAGAAGCCCAAACCGUGCACAUGUCAAGGCUGCAGCUAUUGUGUGUGCGGUGUUGUAGGACCUGCUUGGAGCAGCUGCCGAUGCUCCGAAGAGUUACAAAAUCUGUUUUUAGCUGAAGGCUCUGGAAAGAGCCGCCAUAGAGAGUGAAAGCCUCGUAAGCGAAAAAAGCAGAUCUCUUUGCAGUGUUCCUGAGUACCACGGGACACGUGUUAUCCUGUGGGAAACCGGCCGGACCACCGGCCAAGGCUAAAUACUACCUGACAACCGAUAGUGAACCAGUACCGUGAGGGAAAGGUGAAAAGUACCCCUGUUAGGGGAGUGAAACAGUACCUGAAACUGUAUACUUACAAGCGAAGGGAGCACUAUGUAUAUUUGGAUAAAGGCUUCGGUCUUUAUUUGGAUAUACAGUGUGACCUUGUGCCUUUUGCUUAAUGAGCCGGCGAGUUAAUGGGUGCAGCAAGGUUAAGCCGUUCCGCGGCGCAGCCGAAGCGAAAGCGAGUGUGAAAGCGCGUUUAGUUGUAGUCAUUAGACCCGAAGCCAAGUGACCUAGGCAUGACCAGGCUGAAAUUCGCGUAACAGCGAAUGGAGGGCCGAACCAGUUGGUGUUGCAAAACCUUUGGAUGAGUUGUGUCUAGCAGUGAAAAGCUAAUCGAACUUGGUGAUAGCUGGUUCUCCUCGAAAUAGCUAUAGGGCUAGCCUCAUAUGCUUUCUUGUGGAGGUAGAGCACUGAAUAGGCUAGGGGCGAUAACCUCGUUACCAAACCUAAUCAAACUCCGAAUGCCGCAAGUUUUGAAUAUGGGAGUCAGACUGUGAGGGAUAAGCUUCAUGGUCAAAAGGGAAACAGCCCAGAUCCACAGCUAAGGUCCUUAAAUACUGUCUAAGUGGUAAAGGAUGUGAAAUUUCUCAAACAGCCAGGAUGUUGGCUUAGAAGCAGCCAUCAUUUAAAGAGUGCGUAAUAGCUCACUGGUCAAGAGAUUUCGCGCCGACAAUACAACGGGGCUAAAGACAGUUACCGAAGCUUGGGAAUUGAUUUAUCAAUUGGUAGAGGAGCGUUCUUAUCCGACUGAAGCUCGAUCGUGAGGACGGGUGGACGGAUAAGAAGUGAAGAUGCCGGCACGAGUAGCGCAAAUUUGGAUGAAAAAUCCAAAGACCGUAAAUCUAAGGUUUCCUAGAGCUAGGUUAAUCCUCUCAGGGUUAGUCGGGACCUAAGCCGAGGCCGAAAGGCGUAGGCGAUGGACAAGCAGUUAAUAUUCUGCUACCACCUUGUGCGCGUUAUUACGAUGGAGUGACGCAGGGAGAUAGUUGAGCCCCCUAUUGGAUGGGGGUCUAAGCGUUCAGUGUGUAUUCCAGGCAAAUCCGGAAUACAUUAAGCACGAAGCGUGACGGGGAGCCUCGUUAGAGGCGAAGUCAAUGAGUCUGCACUGCCUGGAAAAACUUCUAAGGAGUGCAUAGGGUGCCCGUACCGUAAACCGACUCUGGUAGAUGGGUAGAAUAUACCAAGGUCUUCGAGAUAACUCCUCAAAAGGAACUCGGCCAACUCACCCCGUAACUUCGGGAGAAGGGGUGCCCCGUUAGUGUGAAGCAACUCGUUUGUGGAGCAUGAAGGGGCCGCAGUGAAUAGUCCCAGGCGACUGUUUAUCAAAAACACAGGGCUCUGCUAACACGAAAGUGGAUGUAUAGGGCCUGACGCCUGCCCGGUGCCGGAAGGUUAAAGGGAGCUGUCAGUCAUACUUGUAUGAGGAAGCAGCGAACUGAAGCCCCGGUAAACGGCGGCCGUAACUAUAACGGUCCUAAGGUAGCGAAAUUCCUUGUCGGGUAAGUUCCG
This 2083-nucleotide ribosomal RNA is filed under the name sediment metagenome. RNAcentral's name for it is "bacterial LSU rRNA". It matches the Rfam family "Bacterial large subunit ribosomal RNA", at positions 3 to 1985 of the family's 2925-position model. The record is from RNAcentral.